GAUGAACGCUGGCGGCGUGCCUAAUACAUGCAAGUCGAGCGAACGGACGAGAAGCUUGCUUCUCUGAUGUUAGCGGCGGACGGGUGAGUAACACGUGAGCAACCUACCUUACACAAAGGGAUAGCCACUGGAAACGGUGAUUAAUACCAUAUGAGACCACGAUUCCGCAUGGGAUGGGGGUUAAAGAUUUAUCGGUGUAAGAUGGGCUCGCGUCUGAUUAGCUAGUUGGAAGGGUAAAGGCCUACCAAGGCGACGAUCAGUAGCCGGAUUGAGAGGUUGAACGGCCACACUGGAACUGAGACACGGUCCAG
Molecule: ribosomal RNA, 311 nt
Filed under: uncultured bacterium
Lineage: Bacteria
Description: bacterial SSU rRNA
Rfam family: Bacterial small subunit ribosomal RNA
Source: RNAcentral